This 1941-nucleotide long non-coding RNA is filed under the name Homo sapiens (human). RNAcentral's name for it is "non-protein coding lnc-ACTA1-3:1". Lineage: Eukaryota; Metazoa; Chordata; Mammalia; Primates; Hominidae. The record is from RNAcentral.
UGAACAUACUUAGUAUUAGAUGAUAUAACUGUAUUGAUGUUAAAUUAUAUAAGCCUGAUAAUCGUAUUGUGGUUGAAUGUCCUUGUUUUUAGGAGAUACAUGCUGAGUAUUUAGAAAUGAAAUGUCAUGAUGUCUGCAACCUUCAUAUGCUGAAAAAAAAUUACCUAUAUACAUAGAGAAAGCAAAAGGGACAGAGUGUUAGCAACAGAUGACUCUAGCUGGAGGAUAUAACGUGCACAUUGGCAUUUUAAAAUUUUUUCUGUAGAUUUGGACUUUUUCUGUUUUUUAUUUUUAUUUAUUUAUUUUCUCUGAGACAGGGUCUCACUCUGUUGCCCAGGCUGGAGCACAGUGGCACAAUCAUGGCUCACUGCAGCCUCGGACUCCUAGACUCAGGUGAUGCUCUUGCUUCAGCCUCCCCAGUAGCUGGGACUACAGGUGCAUGCUCCCAUGCCCGGCUAAUUUUUGUAUUUUUUUGUAGAGAUGGGGUUUCACCAUGUGUACCCAGGCUGGUCUCAAAACUUCUGGGCUCAAGCAGUGUGCCCACCUCGGCCUCCAAAGUGCUGGGAUUAUAGACAUGAGCCACCACACCCAGCCUGGAAUUUUUCAAAAUAAAAAUUGGAGCGGGGAAUCUCAGCUAUGUGGUUUGGAUCAAGUAUAUGCAGAUAUGGAUAUCUGGUUAUGUGGCUUAUCCACAGAGUCCAGCCUAAGAUCUGGGUUUAAAUUAUACUGCUGUCAUUUUUUUCCUUUUGAGGGAGUGGAUAUAGUAGAAAGAAUUGGGAUUUCAAUAUUUUCUCCAGAACUUACUAGCUUUGUGACCUUGGAUAGUUAAUUUAUGCUCCUUCGCCUCAGUUUGUUCAUCUAUAACAAGGGUAGUUGUAAGGAUUGAGGACACUGUCUUGGGAAAAAUGGCUUGCAUAUAUUAAGUACUCAAUAAAUUAUAGGUAUUAGCCCCUUUUAUUAAAAUUAUUUUUUACUGUUUGGGAUAAUCUUCCUUCAAUCUUUUUAUUUUUUGCACUAGUAGCGCCUGUUCUAAAAAAAGUGUGUUUAUAUUCUAUAGGACUGGCUGAUAGUCUAAGAGGGGAAGCCAUAUUUUAGCCUGGCCACCAGAGGUAGAUCAUGUUAAUCAAAGCAUUUUAACCAAGGCUUUCCUGUUUCUUCUUUCUCCCUGCUUUGCAUUUGAUCACUUCUUAGCUUUUAUUUCUUAACGCGAUGGGAACAUUUGCAGGUCUCAGUGAUUCUACAGACUGUUAGCACAAUGUGUCUAAUCGGAGGGGAUAGACUUUUUAAAAAUAACUCUUCUGGUAGUUAAAUAAUUCCUCAUGGAAAAUGUGUAAAUUAUAGAAAAAAUUCAAUAGGAAAAAUAAGUUGUCUGUAGUCCUACCUCCCCGGAGAUAGCCACUGGUACUGUUUUGUGGGUUUCCUCCCAGUCUGAUUUUCUAGGUACAGAAAUGGACAAAAGUGUUCCAUUUAAUUUUUCCAAAACCAGGAUCACGGGGAAUGCUGCCAGUAUUUGAGCGAAAGUAUCUGUGUUUUGGUCACUGUUUUGCUGUGAAUGCUGUGUUUAUGAGGCUGCCUAGCAGUUUUCACCCUUUCCUGCAACUCAGCACAUUCCCUGGGGCGGAGUCAGGUCAUGGGCUGCAACCUGGAGAGUUUAUGGCAAACAGAAGCCCCUGUUACCUCAUCCAAUGGAGAUAACCCUUGCUGCCUAGGAGAUGUGCUGUAUAUUCUUCCAGGUCUUGUUUUUCUUGAUAGACUCAUGGUAGCUUUUACAUCAUUUCCAUUUGCGAAUGAAACUCAGUUGACCCUUGAACAACAUGAGCUUGAACUGCAUGGGUCCACUUACAUGCAGAUUAUUUUCAAUCAAUAUAUUUCGGAGAUUUUCAACAACAUGAAAACACUCAUAGAUAUACACCAUGUAUAACUGUGUAGCCUAGAUAUACC